AAGUCGUAACAAGGUUUCCGUAGGUGAACCUGCGGAAGGAUCAUUAUUGAAUAAACUUGCACAGGCUGUUGCUGGCCCUCAAGGGUAUGUGCACGCUUGUCAUCUUUAUCUCUCCAACUGUGCACAUAUUGUAGACCUGGAGUCCCUGUUGAUUCAUUUCGAGUUGGGACUGCUGUGCUUUGUACUUCAGAGUCAGCUUUGCCUUUUUCAUACCCAGGUCUAUGUCAUUUUCACAACCUCUUGAAUGUGUUUAGAAUGUUGAAUCAGGUCUUUUUGUACCUAUAAAGUUAAAUAUACAACUUUCAGCAACGGAUCUCUUGGCUCUCGCAUCGAUGAAGAACGCAGCGAAAUGCGAUAAGUAAUGUGAAUUGCAGAAUUCAGUGAAUCAUCGAAUCUUUGAACGCAUCUUGCGCUCCUUGGUACUCCGAGGAGCAUGCCUGUUUGAGUGUCAUUUAAAUUCUCAACCACAUCAAUUUAUUUGGUGAGGCUUGGAUGUGGGGGUCUUUUUGCGGGCUUCUGUAAAUUUGAAGUCGGCUCCCCUAAAAUGCAUUAGUGGUAUCUGAGCAGAAGAAACUACUACAGGUGUGAUAAUUAUCUACGCCUCAGUAUCCUGCACAAUCAGAUUGUGCUGCUUCUAACGAGUGGAGAUUCCCUUUGGGGGACCACAUUUGUUGAAUUUGACCUCAAAUCAGGUAGGACUACCCGCUGAACUUAAGC
This 717-nucleotide ribosomal RNA is filed under the name Inocybe tjallingiorum. Its description in RNAcentral is "eukaryotic LSU rRNA". The stretch from base 298 to 451 matches the Rfam family "5.8S ribosomal RNA". Lineage: Eukaryota; Fungi; Basidiomycota; Agaricomycetes; Agaricales; Inocybaceae. The record is from RNAcentral.